Molecule: ribosomal RNA, 495 nt
Filed under: uncultured bacterium
Lineage: Bacteria
Description: partial 16S ribosomal RNA
Rfam family: Bacterial small subunit ribosomal RNA
Source: RNAcentral
UGAACGCUGGCGGCGUGCCUACUACAUGCACGUCGAGCGAACAGACGAGGAGCUUGCUCCUUCGACGUUAGCGGCGGACGGGUGAGUAACACGUAGGUAACCUACCUAUAAGACUGGGAUAACUUCGGGAAACCGGAGCUAAUACCGGAUAAUAUUUCGAACCGCAUGGUUCGAUAGUGAAAGAUGGCUUUGCUAUCACUUAUAGAUGGACCUGCGCCGUAUUAGCUAGUUGGUAAGGUAACGGCUUACCAAGGCAACGAUACGUAGCCGACCUGAGAGGGUGAUCGGCCACACUGGAACUGAGACACGGUCCAGACUCCUACGGGAGGCAGCAGUAGGGAAUCUUCCGCAAUGGGCGAAAGCCUGACGGAGCAACGCCGCGUGAGUGAUGAAGGUCUUCGGAUCGUAAAACUCUGUUAUUAGGGAAGAACAAACGUGUAAGUAACUGUGCACGUCUUGACGGUACCUAAUCAGAAAGCCACGGCUAACUACGUG